CGGGACACUAUGUGGCCCAGGAUUUGACAGGAUAGGCUAAUCGGGUUGGGAGAGACAGAACGCCAAAUUAUACAGCUGAGACCAAAGUGUGCAACCCUCUCCAGACCCUGUUUCCACCAAGCCUGGCAUUGGACCCAUAUAUUGAAUUCCUUCACCCCCAGUUUUUUCAUCCAUGAACAACACUACACCUAACCUUGUGCGGGGCUUAUUGCUUAUGCCUAAAAGGAAGGAUAUUUCUCUGCUGUACUUAUUCUACCUCCAAGGCUGAUGCUCACAUGACGGUACGUAGCUUAUACAAUCACAUCUCAGACCAAGAUGGCGGCAUUUGUACUUUGAGGCCCAGCGUCCACACAGUUUUUGUAAAUUAGCAGUAAUUUAAUUAAUAGUUCUUAGUUUUCUUAUUGAGUACAGCCUGACAUACAGCCGAAAAGAACUCUUGGACAUUGGAGCACAAUGCACAGAAAGUUUUUGACAACUUCAACAGGAGAUCGCGAAGAUGCCCUGGGAGACGCAAUUUACAUCGUAAAACAUCGUAAAUGUUGUGAUUGUAAACAAUGCGGAGGGAAGCACGGAGGCCUCCGGUCUAGGAUAAUUAUAUUUUUCAUAUUAUUAUUCGGAACCUCAUUCUCUAUCGGGCAUUGGUGUGGAACCGCUUUCUGACCGGGGAGAACCAUGGGACCCAGUCUACUGCCAACCAAUCCACAUCAGGGUCCCAGUCUACUGCCAGACAAUCCACAUCAGGGUCCCAGUCUACUGCCAGACAAUCCAUUUCAGAGACCCAGACUACUGCCAGCCAAUCCACAUCAGGGACACGAUAUACUGCCAGUCAAUCCAAAUGGAAAAGGUGGGUGAGGGAGAAGAGGAGCUUCUUCAGACUUGACUCAUAUACAAAAUAACCACCUUUUUGGUUGUCAAGUACUCCAUAACCAAUAGAACAGCACAAUGGGCAAUGAUGUGUGCCAUAAUUUGCUUCAGGAAAAAGCAAGUCGAAAUGAUUGACUGGGCCUAGAUGUUUCAUGACAGGCUGAUACAGAAUGCAAAUAGAUCAUUGGACUGUAGUCAAAUACUGUGAAGAGAGAACCAUAACUAUCCUGUUUUUUGAGGAGAGGCAGGAUGCAUGAUUGAAAACCACUUCUAUAUACCUAAAGUACAGCUUAUCAUCAGUCCAAAAUACUGGAAUAGUGGACACAAUUGUUUUGGGAUCCAGUAGAGGUGCAGACACAUCCAAGUAUCAACUCUGGGGACUAAGCUUAAAUGUUUUGGUUUUCACAACUUUUACAUUUGGGCUUAUAAACAAUAUGUAAUGUACAUGGAUCAUCUUGUAUUUGGCAUCAAAUUAUUCUAACCUCAGCUAAUAUAAGCAUAAUAUAAGCAAGCUAAUAUAAGCAUGCAUGCUAAUGUACUUAUAAGGUAGUAUUUCAGUGAAAAAUGCAAAAUAAAGUAAAUAAUUUUAAAAGCGA
This is a long non-coding RNA of Esox lucius (northern pike), 1460 nucleotides long. Lineage: Eukaryota; Metazoa; Chordata; Actinopteri; Esociformes; Esocidae. The record is from Ensembl.